Long non-coding RNA from Priapulus caudatus, 774 nucleotides. RefSeq lists it as uncharacterized. The record is from RefSeq and is a predicted model, not a curated record. The transcript is spliced from 2 exons. Lineage: Eukaryota; Metazoa; Priapulida; Priapulimorpha; Priapulimorphida; Priapulidae.
UCACUCUAUGCGUGGUGUGUGUCGUCAGUGCGUACGCGGCAUCGUAUGGCUACAACAAUGGCUGCCUGCCCUGCCGCGGAUACAAGUCGCAUUUCCCGUGCACACCGAUAGGUAACCACUGCAGGUACGGAGUCGACCCGAACCUGUGCGGAUGCUGCCCGGUCUGCGCUAAGGGACCGGGCACGCUGUGUGGCGGACCGAGGUCGGCAUUCGGACUGUGUGGAACCAACCUGGAGUGUGUGGGAGCGGGAGACCUGAGCGCUCUAUUCGGUGUCCCUGCACCGACACGGCGCCGACACCGGCACCUACACCGGACCCAUACGCAGACUACGCUACCAUGGUUUAACAUCUCGAACCCGUGCAUGGCGUGCGGUGUGCAUGCGUGCGUGUACGCGUACGCACGUGCUUACGUGCGUGAGUGUGUGCGUCCGUGCGUGCAUGCGCGAGUAUGCGUACGUGCGUGCAUGUAUGCGAGCGUGUAUGCGUGCGUACGUGCGUGCGUACGGACGGGAAUUCGUGUGUGUGCGCGUGCCUGCGUACGUGUCUGUACGUGCAUCUGUGCGUGCUUUGUUAAGUUAUAACUUUAUAAGUGUAAAGAUUAAAUUUCAUGGUUUUAUAGUUUUCGUAUUCGCUAUUGUUGUUAUUGCUAUUAUUGUUGUUACUGUUAUUGCAAUAUUACAUUGCUCUAAGCAAGGCUGAUCAUUGUUGUCUUUUUUAGAUCAAUAUGGCAUGUUUAUGCAUUUAACAUAUUAAACAAACUGUUGUAUAAAAAUA